This 338-nucleotide long non-coding RNA is filed under the name Pan troglodytes (chimpanzee). RNAcentral's name for it is "long non-coding RNA NONPTRT008118". The record is from RNAcentral. Lineage: Eukaryota; Metazoa; Chordata; Mammalia; Primates; Hominidae.
GCCGCUCCUCACGUUCAAACAGAUUGCAAAAGUUUACAGGGGAGAACCCUAACUUGUUCCCUAGACGUCAGUUUCUGGAGUUCAUGCAUUAAUACGAUUAAAAAGAACAGCUGAUUCUUAUCCAGCCCUUACUCUGGGCCGGGCCCUGUUAUCGGCAUGAAAUUUCAUGCAACAACUCGUUUACUCCUCACAACAGCCCACGAGGUAUAUACGAGCAUCACCUCCUUUUUACAGGUUGCCCCGGGCUUCUGAGGAGGAGUCAGUGGGCUCAGCAUGGAAAGGAAGGAAGCCGGAAGGAAUUGCGAGGAAGAUGCAGCGAGGCUGGAAAGGUUGGGGAU